GUGGAUUAGAUACCCGGGUAGUCCACGCCGUAAACGAUGAAUACUAGGUGUGGGGGUUGUCAUGACCUCCGUGCCGCCGCUAACGCAUUAAGUAUUCCGCCUGGGGAGUACGGUCGCAAGAUUAAAACUCAAAGGAAUUGACGGGGGCCCGCACAAGCAGCGGAGCAUGUGGUUUAAUUCGAAGCAACGCGAAGAACCUUACCUAGACUUGACAUCUCCUGAAUUACUCUGUAAUGGAGGAAGCCCUUCGGGGCAGGAAGACAGGUGGUGCACGGCCGUCGACAACU
RNAcentral lists this ribosomal RNA (287 nucleotides) under uncultured bacterium. RNAcentral's name for it is "partial 16S ribosomal RNA". It matches the Rfam family "Bacterial small subunit ribosomal RNA", at positions 773 to 1060 of the family's 1533-position model. The record is from RNAcentral.